RNAcentral lists this ribosomal RNA (468 nucleotides) under uncultured bacterium. RNAcentral describes it as "partial 16S ribosomal RNA". It matches the Rfam family "Bacterial small subunit ribosomal RNA", at positions 28 to 507 of the family's 1533-position model. The record is from RNAcentral.
GACGAACGCUGGCGGCGUGCUUAACACAUGCAAGUCGAACGGAAAGGCCCUGCUUUUGUGGGGUGCUCGAGUGGCGAACGGGUGAGUAACACGUGAGUAACCUGCCCUUGACUUUGGGAUAACUUCAGGAAACUGGGGCUAAUACCGGAUAGGAGCUCCUGCUGCAUGGUGGGGGUUGGAAAGUUUCGGCGGUUGGGGAUGGACUCGCGGCUUAUCAGCUUGUUGGUGGGGUAGUGGCUUACCAAGGCUUUGACGGGUAGCCGGCCUGAGAGGGUGGCCGGCGACCUUGGGCCUGCGGUAGGGACCAGACUGCUACGGGGGGCAGUGGUGGGGAAUAUUACACAGUGGGCGGGAGCCUGUGGCAGCAACGCCGCGUGCGGGAUGCCGGCCUUCGGGUUGUGAACCGCUUUCGCCUGUGACGAAGCGUGUGUGACGGUAAUGGGUAAAUAAGCACCGGCUAACUACGUG